GCCGCUUUGACGGUACGCGGUUCGUCGCCUUCCGGCAGCACUACGCGUUUACCGGCUUUACGCGCCAGCUCGGUCA
Molecule: transfer RNA, 76 nt
Filed under: Salmonella sp. FORC89
Lineage: Bacteria; Pseudomonadati; Pseudomonadota; Gammaproteobacteria; Enterobacterales; Enterobacteriaceae
Description: tRNA-Ala
Source: RNAcentral